This 425-nucleotide ribosomal RNA is filed under the name uncultured bacterium. RNAcentral's name for it is "partial 16S ribosomal RNA". It matches the Rfam family "Bacterial small subunit ribosomal RNA", at positions 354 to 796 of the family's 1533-position model. The record is from RNAcentral.
GUGGGGAAUCUUGCGCAAUGGGCGAAAGCCUGACGCAGCCAUGCCGCGUGGAUGAUGAAGGUCUUAGGAUUGUAAAAUCCUUUCACCGGUGAAGAUAAUGACUGUAGCCGGAGAAGAAGCCCCGGCUAACUUCGUGCCAGCAGCCGCGGUAAUACGAAGGGGGCUAGCGUUGCUCGGAUUUACUGGGCGUAAAGGGCGCGUAGGCGGACAUGUAAGUCAGGGGUGAAAUCCCGGGGCUCAACCUCGGAACUGCCUUUGAUACUGGGUGUCUUGAGUAUGAGAGAGGUGUGUGGAACUCCGAGUGUAGAGGUGAAAUUCGUAGAUAUUCGGAAGAACACCAGUGGCGAAGGCGACACACUGGCUCAUUACUGACGCUGAGGCGCGAAAGCGUGGGGAGCAAACAGGAUUAGAAACCCGAGUAGUCC